UAAUAUUCAGGUAGAGUUUUCUAAAUCUAACAGUAGUGAAAAUACAGAACUAGUAACAGAAUACAAUAACAGAAAAACAGUGAUUGAACAACAUCUGGACUGUCAACAUGGAGAGGCAUAUGCUCCUCAUGAUUCUCAUUGUAGUUACAGGUGGAUUUGCUGACAAAAUUGGACCAACAGAAGGAAAUACUAAUAUUAUCAAGGGAGAAGGAGAUUCUGUGACACUGAGCUGCACAUAUGAAACAAACAGCAAUAAUGUGUAUCUUUUCUGGUACAGACAGUACCCUAACAAGGAACCACAGUAUUUACUGCAGAAAUCUCGAUCAGGGAGCUAUGAGAAUAUAGCAGACCAUCGGUUUAAGUCAAGGACAUCCCAGUCAUCAACUGAACUCAUUAUUGAUAAAGCAGCUCUGUCAGAUUCGGCUCUCUAUUACUGUGCUCUUCAAGCAGCCCAGUGAUACAAAAUGCCUAAGAUGCUUUACAAAAACUCAAAUACACAACAUGCUUUAAAGGGUCUUUAAUCAAAUAGCAUCAAACCACAAUUUAUUAUUUUUUUUGUAAACCACAGCUCUGGAAAUAAGAGUGUGGCAACACCUGUGAAUUUGGCAGAUUAUGAAAGGAAUGUGAAACUAUCACUUAACAUUUGCUUUUCUAAAUAUGUUAUUUAAAAUUACUCUAGAUUCAGAAAUCUUUCAGUGAACAAAAUACAUUUAUUUAUUAUUUUUUUUUAAAAUAAGCAAACAAGGAAAUAAAUAAAAAUAUAUGUAUUCUAAAGUAGUUCUCUGUCCACGAUCCUUCAAAGAUUAAGUAAACCUGCAUAGCUAUCAUGUAUAUAAUGGUAAGAGGAGGAGUUUAACACAGACAAUAGCACACAGAUAAGUAACAAUCAAACACUGUGUGAAGCAGAUGCUCUUUGUUUAGGUUGUCCCAGGCAAUUUGUUGAGUGAACAUGUUCAUCUAUAUUAUCAUACUGAUCUCAUUAACAGAAGGUAUACUAUUGCAAUAUAUAAAAUGUAAUUGUGCUCUUUUUUUUAUUAUUUUUGUAAAUAUACUAUAUGAUAUAUUACUAAUACACCAAUAAUAUACUAUAUAAAAUAUCACUAUAUCAAUGUUAUGUUAUUUGUGUAUUUCUAUUACAGUUAA
Onychostoma macrolepis is the source of this 1143-nucleotide non-coding RNA. Lineage: Eukaryota; Metazoa; Chordata; Actinopteri; Cypriniformes; Cyprinidae. The record is from the annotation of a RefSeq genome assembly.